CCCGCUUUCCACACAGGGCGGCUAAACCUGUUAGUUAUUUCUUACGUACAGUUCAGAAUGAAGCCCCAGAGUGCAUGAAGCUCUCUGUUCCUGGGCUGAGAUGCUGACAGCCUAGUUGCAUGAAGGUGUCCGAUGUGAGCAACGAACAUGGGAUCAGGGGUCCAUGGGGUCAGGUUUGAGUCCCCUUGCUGACACCAACUUGCUGUUUUUCCCUUCUCUUAACCAGAGCCCAGACAAAGCAUGAGAAAACAGGAUACUUCUAAAUGUACGGAAUGUUAUAUGGAAAGAAUGCAAUUUGCAGGAGGAGAAGAGAAAUUCAUAGAAAGAAGGCACACCUAUAGCUACAGCCAGGCUGAGGCUGGGAGGAGCCCUGAAAGCUGCUGAGAUAUCCUAAGAUGGAAAAUUUCAGGAGGCCAGCUGCAUAUCUGCAUUUGAAUCCCACUGCUCUGGGAAAGGAGGAGCUACAGCAAACAAUAAACUCACUCUAACAGGACUUCUCUCCUCUGGAAGGGAGGCCCAAGAGAAACUGCAGCCAAGGGAGGCCGUCCUGAGCCCAGCAAGAAGAGCCCGGCUGAGGCAGCACAGCAGGACCCAGCGAAGUCAGAUCAUAGCUGAGCGCGGAGCCAGAGGAGGGAGGCCCCUCCGGGCGCCAAGCCCGUCACUUACCGGACUCCAGGCAGGACGCAUCCAGCACUGUCCUUCAUUAGCGCUAAUGGAAUUUCAAGGUCAAUGACCAGUCAUAAACAUCAGCCCUAAAUUAAGUGUAUCUGAGGCUCCUUGCCCAGAGGAUUUUUUUUUUUUCUUAAAAGCCAAGUUGCUUGGGAGAUAGGGGAGUGUCAAAAAUACAGUUAACCUUUCAAGAUGAAAACAUUAUCAAUUCUAUUGAUUUAGAUCAUAACUCGCUUCCACUUAACUCAUCAAAAAGGAUUGCCAAUUUUAGAAAUAAUGUAUUUCUCAGUCUUAGGGAGUCUUUUCUCACCUCUCCUUCCCAUCUCUUUCUCCAGGCAACUUUUCUCUCAAGUCCACUGGGGACACCUUAUACAGGAGAUUGACUGGGGUCUGGCUAGAUUGCUGACAACACCAAAAUGCUGUACACCUCACCCGUAGUGUUUUGUAUUAUUGAUAGUGGCUUCUCUGCCUGUCAUUUCUCCCCCUCUCCUUCCAAACAGCUGGGAAUAUCCCUGCGAUCCUUGUCAUACAACAUGACUAAUAUGUUCAGCUUCAGAGGUACAAAGGAGACAGAAAUAAAUGAAGGGAUCGCUAAAUAGGAGUUUUUCUAUUCCUCCAGUGGGAUGAUGAGUAACUAGGAACAGACGGCCCCAAGCAUCAUCGCAUAAUCAUCAGGUUGAGGGCCUGAAAGACUCUUAAAAAAACUGAAAUCAACACCCUAUCUAAGGUCAAAUGUAUGGUGAGCUUAGGUUCCAGGGCCAGAGUCAACAGCAAUUUCUAGCUAAAUCCUAGUAUUAACACACCUUGAGAUUUACAAGCCAGAUUUUAGCACCUCCAAACCCUUCCUGCUCGGCUCUGUCUGGGGCGUUAUGCCUUGGUUGUAUGCAUCAGCUCGCUUCCUUGCCUACUUCUGAAUCUGUGUGUGGCACUGCAGGAAGGGAAAGAACUGGUCCCCUGACAUAAAUCAUAGUCAAACUCCCUAUAUGUUUUUUUACUGAUACUCCAUGCUAAAAAAUUCCAACCAGACUCCGAACAAGGUACCUCUUGCUGCAGACAUUAAUGACAGAUCUUUGUUUUGUUUUGACAAAAUUUUGUCUGUACUGAAUAAAGAUGGCCAUAGCCCUUCCACCGUGCCCCUGUGGCUCCCCACCAGCCCUCUCUCUAAAUCCUGA
Nyctereutes procyonoides (raccoon dog) is the source of this 1841-nucleotide long non-coding RNA. RefSeq lists it as uncharacterized. Lineage: Eukaryota; Metazoa; Chordata; Mammalia; Carnivora; Canidae. The transcript is spliced from 5 exons. The record is from RefSeq and is a predicted model, not a curated record.